Sebastes umbrosus (honeycomb rockfish) is the source of this 146-nucleotide long non-coding RNA. RefSeq lists it as uncharacterized. The record is from RefSeq and is a predicted model, not a curated record. Lineage: Eukaryota; Metazoa; Chordata; Actinopteri; Perciformes; Sebastidae. The transcript has 3 exons.
AGGGCUCAUUCUAAGCUAAACACAACGAUUCUUAGUUUCAGGUGAUUAUACACUAAUAAAAACACAGUUAUGAAUAUUGUAUUCCAUUUCCGCUAAUAGAUCCCUGAUAUCCUACACACCGGACCUUUAAAGGAACAUUUUAGCUU